UGUGACCUCAAAUCAGGUAGGACUACCCGCUGAACUUAAGCAUAUCAAUAAGCGGAGGAAAAGAAACUAACAAGGAUUCCCCUAGUAACUGCGAGUGAAGCGGGAAAAGCUCAAAUUUAAAAUCUGGCGGUCUUUUGGCUGUCCGAGUUGUAAUCUAGAGAAGUGUUAUCCGCGCUGGACCGUGUACAAGUCUCCUGGAAUGGAGCAUCAUAGAGGGUGAGAAUCCCGUCUUUGACAUGGACUGCCAGGGCUUUGUGAUGCGCUCUCAAAGAGUCGAGUUGUUUGGGAAUGCAGCUCAAAAUGGGUGGUAAAUUCCAUCUAAAGCUAAAUAUUGGCGAGAGACCGAUAGCGAACAAGUACCGUGAGGGAAAGAUGAAAAGAACUUUGGAAAGAGAGUUAAACAGUACGUGAAAUUGCUGAAAGGGAAACGCUUGAAGUCAGUCGCGUCAUCCAGGGAUCAACCUUGCUUUUGCUUGGUGCACUUUCUGGUUUGAUGGGUCAGCAUCAAUUUUGAUCAUUGGAAAAAGGCUCUGGGGAAUGUGGCAUCUUUGGAUGUGUUAUAGCCCCUGGUCAUAUACAAUGGUUGGGAUUGAGGAACUCAGCACGCCGCAAGGCCGGGUUUUUAACCACGUACGUGCUUAGGAUGCUGGCAAAAUGGCUUUAAUCGACCCGUCUUGAAACACGGACCAAGGAGUCUAACAUGCCUGCGAGUGUUUGGGUGGAAAACCCGAGCGCGUAAUGAAAGUGAAAAGUUGAGAUCCCUGUCGUGGGGAGCAUCGACGCCCGGACCAGACCUUUUGUGACGGUUCCGCGGUAGAGCAUGUAUGUUGGGACCCGAAAGAUGGUGAACUAUGCCUGAAUAGGGUGAAUCCAGAGGAAACUCUGGUGGAGGCUCGUAGCGAUUCUGACGUGCAAAUCGAUCGUCAAAUUUGGGUAUAGGGGCGAAAGA
Molecule: ribosomal RNA, 949 nt
Filed under: Cortinarius sp. 15 MD-2018
Lineage: Eukaryota; Fungi; Basidiomycota; Agaricomycetes; Agaricales; Cortinariaceae
Description: eukaryotic LSU rRNA
Rfam family: Eukaryotic large subunit ribosomal RNA
Source: RNAcentral